AUACGUAGGGUGCAAGCGUUAAUCGGAAUUACUGGGCGUAAAGCGUGCGCGGGCGGUUUUGUAAGACAGUGGUGAAAUCCCCGGGCUCAACCUGGGAACUGCCAUUGUGACUGCAAGGCUGGAGUGCGACAGAGGGGGAUGGAAUUCCGCGUGUAGCAGUGAAAUGCGUAGAUAUGCGGGGGAACACCGAUGGCGAAGGCAAUCCCCUGGGCCUGCACUGACGCUCAUGCACGAAAGCGUGGGGAGCAAACAGGAUUAGAUACCCUGGUAGUCCACGCCCUAAACGAUGUCAACUGGUUGUUGGGGAUUUAAUUUCUCGGUAACGAAGCUAACGCGUAAAGUUGACCGCCUGGGGAGUACGGCCGCAAGGUUAAAACUCAAAUGAAUUGACGGGG
Molecule: ribosomal RNA, 395 nt
Filed under: uncultured bacterium
Lineage: Bacteria
Description: partial 16S ribosomal RNA
Rfam family: Bacterial small subunit ribosomal RNA
Source: RNAcentral